RNAcentral lists this transfer RNA (78 nucleotides) under bacterium. RNAcentral describes it as "tRNA-Pro". It matches the Rfam family "tRNA". Rfam says of the family: Transfer RNA (tRNA) molecules are approximately 80 nucleotides in length. Their secondary structure includes four short double-helical elements and three loops (D, anti-codon, and T loops). Further hydrogen bonds mediate the characteristic L-shaped molecular structure. tRNAs have two regions of fundamental functional importance: the anti-codon, which is responsible for specific mRNA codon recognition, and the 3' end, to which the tRNAs corresponding amino acid is attached (by aminoacyl-tRNA synthetases). tRNAs cope with the degeneracy of the genetic code in two manners: having more than one tRNA (with a specific anti-codon) for a particular amino acid; and 'wobble' base-pairing, i.e. permitting non-standard base-pairing at the 3rd anti-codon position. The record is from RNAcentral.
CGGGCUGUAGCGUAGCUUGGUUAACGCGCUAGCCUGGGGGGCUAGAGAUCGCUGGUUCGAGUCCAGUCAGCCCGACCA